GAUGAACGCUAGCGGCAGGCCUAAUACAUGCAAGUCGAGGGGCAGCAGGAAUAGCAAUAUUCGCUGGCGACCGGCGCACGGGUGCGUAACACGUAUACAAUCUGCCUUUAACAGGGGGAUAGCCCGGAGAAAUCCGGAUUAAUACCCCAUAACAGUGAUCUUGGCAUCAAGGACACUUAAAAGCUCCGGCGGUUAAAGAUGAGUAUGCGUCUGAUUAGCUAGUUGGUGAGGUAACGGCUCACCAAGGCGACGAUCAGUAGGGGAUCUGAGAGGCUUAACCCCCACACGGAAGCUGAGACACAGAUCCGGCUCCUACGGGAGGCAGCAGUAAGGAAUAUUGGACAAUGCCCGCAAGGGUGAUCCAGCCAUGCCGCGUGCAGGAAGGCGGCCCUAUGGGUUGUAAACUGCUUUUACACCGGAGAAAACCCCACUACGUGUAGUGGGCUGAUAGUAUGGUGAGAAUAAGCAUCGGCUAACUUCGUGCCAGCCGCCGCGGUAA
Molecule: ribosomal RNA, 499 nt
Filed under: uncultured bacterium
Lineage: Bacteria
Description: partial 16S ribosomal RNA
Rfam family: Bacterial small subunit ribosomal RNA
Source: RNAcentral